UACGUAGGUGGCAAGCGUUGUUCGGAAUUAUUGGGCGUAAAGAGCUCGUAGGCGGCUUGUCACGUCGGGUGUGAAAGCCCGGGGCUUAACCCCGGGUCUGCAUUCGAUACGGGCUAGCUAGAGUGUGGUAGGGGAGAUCGGAAUUCCUGGUGUAGCGGUGAAAUGCGCAGAUAUCAGGAGGAACACCGGUGGCGAAGGCGGAUCUCUGGGCCAUUACUGACGCUGAGGAGCGAAAGCGUGGGGAGCGAACAGG
This 253-nucleotide ribosomal RNA is filed under the name uncultured bacterium. RNAcentral's name for it is "partial 16S ribosomal RNA". It matches the Rfam family "Bacterial small subunit ribosomal RNA", at positions 524 to 776 of the family's 1533-position model. The record is from RNAcentral.